GGAGAGGCCAACAGAUGAGGGAAGCCAUUUUUCUGCAAUGGAAUUAAAUGGCCAAGCCCAAGGACUCACAGUUGGAAGACUGGAGAAGACUUUUUAAAAAGAUCUGGAUUUUUCCUUAUGACUUGGAAUCCAUCUUUGUCUUGUAUAACUAGGUCAUAGCACACCAUUCAUGUCAGCAGUUAACAGUUUUGAAUUACAAAAAAACCUAAAGCAGUAAACAGUCCUCAGCGAAGCCGCCUUUUUGCCUACCCAACCCUGGAAAGUUUGCAGAAGUGGAAGGAGCAGAACGUGAGGGUGUAACUUACAAAAAGGUUCUGGGCCGGAGAAGGGGCGACGUUCGGGCACCCCCCGAAUGGACAAUCUUUCCUUCUGUCAACGGCAGGGGCAGGCCUAGUUUGACUCUGACAGUCCUCCCACUAAGGAAUUCCUGGUGACUGGAAGGGGGAGUGACUCAGGCCCUCAACCUCUAGCAGGUAAGGGAGCUGCCUCCUGGGUGGGCAUGCCCAGUUCCUCAGUGGGCCCAGCGCGGCCCAGCCUCCGAGGAAGCUCUGAGCAGCUGGCUUGGCUCGGAGGUAUUUUUAGCUACAGAUCCAGCCCCCCUCCAUCACAACAGUCGAGUCCAAAUCAAACGCACUCCAGGCAGGUGGGGCUGGGGUUCUGCCAGCCUCCUGGCCAGCAGGGGUGGGUGGGCAGACUGGGGCCAGUAUCAGCUGUUCUGCCUGGACCCAGGCCGGGCUGGGAAGGCACACUUGUGCUUAUUUCCCGCCUCCACUUCUGUGCAAGCUUGUGCUGUCAUAAGCAGAGAUCACAGCCCCAUUUCUUGGAUGGAGAAAGUGGACACUGAGGUCUGAGGCUUUUGAGGACAGUCAGGAGCCCUCCUAUGGGCUCCAGUGAUGCACUCACCAGCUUCUGGUCCUCUUCUUCCACCUCUUAGAGUGCCUUGGCUCCCUCCUGUCGUCCUGGGGAACCUCGGCCCCAGCCCUGCCUCCCCAGCCAGUCACAGCUCCUCCCUGGUCACCCU
Molecule: long non-coding RNA, 1021 nt
Filed under: Pan troglodytes (chimpanzee)
Lineage: Eukaryota; Metazoa; Chordata; Mammalia; Primates; Hominidae
Description: lincRNA
Source: RNAcentral